Molecule: ribosomal RNA, 255 nt
Filed under: uncultured bacterium
Lineage: Bacteria
Description: partial 16S ribosomal RNA
Rfam family: Bacterial small subunit ribosomal RNA
Source: RNAcentral
UACGAAGGGGGCUAGCGUUGCUCGGAAUCACUGGGCGUAAAGGGUGCGUAGGCGGGUCUUUAAGUCAGGGGUGAAAUCCUGGAGCUCAACUCCAGAACUGCCUUUGAUACUGAAGAUCUUGAGUUCGGGAGAGGUGAGUGGAACUGCGAAGUGUAGAGGUGAAAAUUCGUAGAUAUUCGCAAGAACACCAGUGGCGAAGGCGGCUCACUGGCCCGAUACUGACGCUGAGGCACGAAAGCGUGGGUAGCAAACAGG